Molecule: ribosomal RNA, 439 nt
Filed under: uncultured bacterium
Lineage: Bacteria
Description: partial 16S ribosomal RNA
Rfam family: Bacterial small subunit ribosomal RNA
Source: RNAcentral
CCUACGGGUGGCAGCAGUGGGGGAUAUUGCACAAUGGGGGAAACCCUGAUGCAGCGACGCCGCGUGGGUGAAGAAGCGCCUCGGCGCGUAAAGCCCUGUCAGCAGGGAAGAAAAUGACGGUACCUGAAGAAAAAGCAUCGGCUAACUCCGUGCCAGCAGCCGCGGUAAUACGGAGGCUGCGCGCGUUAUCCGGAUUUAUGGGGUUUAAAGUGUGCGAAGGCGGAGGCACAAGUCAGCGGUAAAAUCGCGGGGCUCAACCCCGCUCCGCCGUUGAAACUGGGUGCCUUGAGUGCGCGAAGGGUAGGCGGAAUGCGUGGUGUAGCGGUGAAAUGCAUAGAUAUCACGCAGAACUCCGAUCGCGAAGGCAGCCUACCGGCGCGCAACUGACGCUGAUGCACGAAAGCGUGGGUAUCGAACAGGAUUAGAUACCCCAGUAGUC